AAUAACAAUGUAGGUAAGGGAAGUUGGCAAGUCAGAUCCAUAAUUUCGGGAUAAGGAUUGACUCUAAGGGCUGGGUCGGUCGGGCUGGAGUGCGAAGCGGGGCUGGGCUGGGCUCGAGCCGCGGCUGGGGGAGCAGUUGCUCCAUCGCCCUCUCGCCACCGUUGGAAGUUUGUUGUGCGGCCCAUCUUGCGGUCUCUCGUGCGUGGUCUCGCAAGGGGGUGCUUGUGGGGGUUUGUCGGGGUGUUAUCUGUCGGCUGGCCAAAGGCGGACCGGUGUGGGGUUGGCGGCGGCGACUCUGGAUGCACGCCGGGACCUUAUCGCGAAUCUCCCCAGCUAUGGCCCCGUUUGCCUAGCAGCUGACUUUGAACUGGUGCGGACCAGGGGAAUCCGACUGUUUAAUUAAAACAAAGCAUUGCGAAGGUCCAAGGUGGUUGUUGACAAGAUGUGAUUUCCGCCCAGUGCUCUGAAUGCCAAAGUGAAGAAAUUAAAUGAAGCGCGGGUAAACAGCAGGAGUAACUAGGACUCUCUUAAGGAGUCCUUAGCCCAGGACAUUGGGGUUCCAUGCUUCCCGAAAUAAUGUGAAGUCGAAUACGGGCGACCCCAAACCAUACAUUGUCACCUGCUUGCAGGUGGCCCUAACAUUGCAACAAACUGGAGCAAAAGGUGCCUUCAGAUCGAACGAAAACCUGAUCCGGCUGAGAGGGACUACCUCGGAUAGGUUAAAGUGGGAGGUAAGGGAAGACGGAAAAGUCAGAUCCAUAACUUCGGGAUAAAUAGUACCGUAGCCCUUGGAGGGCUCUUCCAACCCCUACUCUGUGUCUCACCUGUUUGAGGGAGUCUCUCCAAUUGCUAGGAGACAAACUGUCUCUAGCAUGUUAGUACAGGGGGGUAAGGGAGAUAGAGGUAGCCCUCUAGCAAGGCUCUUCAAAUCCCUCCCUGAAUGUCACCUAUUUUCAGGUGUCGCUAACAAUGCAAACCAAAUGGGAGUUACUUGCCGAUGGUGACGGCUGUUGAUCGUUUACGGAAGGCGGUAAUUGGUCCUGGAAUAUGGGACUUUCGGUCAAGCAUAAAAAUGUGAUGGCGGUUCCACCAGACUCAAUGAUUUGCUGCGGGGCUCUUGUAAACAAAUCCUGACCUUGACAGGAAGCCAAUCUGAAAAUGAUGGCUUGAACACAUCCCUGGCUUUGGCUGGGAGGGGGGAGUUAAGUCCUGGGAGACGGCUGAUGAAAGUGUACCGCUGGCAUCAGUCUGAUCACAGAGCGGCUGUGGUGAAAUGUUUAAACACGCAUCCCCCGUAUACUUAGCUAACUCUAAACCGCAAAGGUUUGAAUCGACACUUGCUUCGGCUGGAUCCGCUAACAGUGGAGCACUAAAUAGAGAUGGAAUGUGCUUAGCGGUUAUGUACACUGCGAGAUGCGGGACGCUACACAUUCUAUGUGGGAGCUCUCCUUCAUGCUCCUAGGAGCAUGUAGUGGAGAUGGCAUGUGCCUUACCAUUAGCUGACACUACCAGGCCUCAGGCUUGCCUGAGUGCGGGACAUCGCACAUUGUAGGUGGGGAAGUCUCCUCUAAGCUCACUAGACUCGAGGUGGAGACUAAACCCAUUGGCCGCGCAGUAAUAGGGCAUUGCAUGGAUCUGGCUCAUGCCCGACAAAGUCGGGAGAGGCAUCUCCAGUUUCUCCCGGGAGGGAGGCCUACAUCUGAUGUGGGUGGUACCAUCCACACCCAUUAAUUUGCUGCGGACCCAUAAAAUGGACGGAAUAAGUUUAGAUUCCCACUGGGCACGGAUCACUGAAUGUCAACUUGAUGAAAUUCAAAGGAGUGUGCCCACCUGUAGUAAUCCUGCUCAGUACGAGAGGAACCGCAGGUUCAGACAUUUGGUGUAUGUGCUUGGCUGAUGAGCCAAUGGUGUGAAGCUACCAUCUGUGGGAUUAUGACUGAACGCCUCUAAGUCAGAAUCCACCCUAAACGUAACGAUACCGUAGCGCCGCAGAUCUUCGGUUGGCCCGGGAUAGCCUGCCUCUUUUGGCAGGUGAGUAGAACCGUUCGUGACGGGGUUGGGUUGCGGCCUGAUGAGUUGCCCGCCCCUCUCCUGAUGCGCACUGCAUCUUUGUGGGGAACCUGGUGCUACAUCACUCGUAGACGACCUGAUUCUAGGUCAAGGUUUCGUACGUAGCAGAGCAGCUCACUCGCUGCGAUCUAUUGAAAGUCAGCCCUCGAACCAAGCUUU
Molecule: non-coding RNA, 2229 nt
Organism: Salmo salar (Atlantic salmon)
Lineage: Eukaryota; Metazoa; Chordata; Actinopteri; Salmoniformes; Salmonidae
Source: Rfam